GAGGUCAGCUUUUCUCCCGCGCAGUGAUAUGUUCACAGUUUAAGUUCCUUCCUUCCUUGGGAUGUCAACGAAUGUCGCUUCAACACACUGUGCAGAGACUUUCCAAGAUCUUGUGGGUUUUAAAUGCACGGAAAUAGCCUCCUGCAGCGUGAGGGACAAGUUGUGAGACAUUGAUGUUUCAUCUUCUGACACAGAGCCGAUGUGUGCAGUUGAGUCAAUGACAAAUUGGACCGUGGGCAUCCAGAGUUUUUGCAGAUUAUAGUCAGAACUGAUGCAAGACAAAGUAUAGAAGAACCAGAUUUUUCCUGCAUUUCUG
Molecule: long non-coding RNA, 316 nt
Organism: Protopterus annectens (West African lungfish)
Lineage: Eukaryota; Metazoa; Chordata; Ceratodontiformes; Protopteridae
Exons: 3
Source: RefSeq, a predicted model, not a curated record